This 264-nucleotide ribosomal RNA is filed under the name uncultured bacterium. RNAcentral describes it as "partial 16S ribosomal RNA". It matches the Rfam family "Bacterial small subunit ribosomal RNA", at positions 793 to 1055 of the family's 1533-position model. The record is from RNAcentral.
GUCCACGCCGUAAACGAUGGACACUAGGCGUCGGGGGAGCGACCCCCUCGGUGCCGUCGCUAACGCAGUAAGUGUCCCGCCUGGGGAGUACGGCCGCAAGGCUGAAACUCAAAGGAAUUGACGGGGGCCCGCACAAGCGGUGGAGCAUGUGGUUUAAUUCGAAGCAACGCGAAGAACCUUACCUGGGCUUGACAUGUUGGUGAAAGCCGGUGGAAACAUCGGCCCCUCUUCGGAGCGCCAGCACAGGUGCUGCAUGGCUGUCGU